This 497-nucleotide ribosomal RNA is filed under the name uncultured bacterium. RNAcentral's name for it is "partial 16S ribosomal RNA". It matches the Rfam family "Bacterial small subunit ribosomal RNA", at positions 28 to 507 of the family's 1533-position model. The record is from RNAcentral.
GAUGAACGCUGGCGGCGUGCCUAAUACAUGCAAGUCGAGCGAACAGACGAGGAGCUUGCUCCUCUGACGUUAGCGGCGGACGGGUGAGUAACACGUGGAUAACCUACCUAUAAGACUGGGAUAACUUCGGGAAACCGGAGCUAAUACCGGAUAAUAUAUUGAACCGCAUGGUUCAAUAGUGAAAGACGGUUUUGCUGUCACUUAUAGAUGGUUCCGCGCCGCAUUAGCUAGUUGGUAAGGUAACGGCUUACCAAGGCAACGAUGCGUAGCCGACCUGAGAGGGUGAUCGGCCACACUGGAACUGAAACACGGUCCAGACUCCUACGGGAGGCAGCAGUAGGGAAUCUUCCGCAAUGGGCGAAAGCCUGACAGAGCAACGCCGCGUGAGUGAUGAAGGUCUUCGGAUCGUAAAACUCUGUUAUUAGGGAAGAACAAAUGUGUAAGUAACUAUACACGUCUUGACGGUACCUAAUCAGAAAGCCACGGCUAACUACGUG